CCUACGGGUGGCAGCAGUGAGGAAUAUUGGUCAAUGGCCGAGAGGCUGAACCAGUCAAGCCGCGUGAAGGACGACGGUGCCAAGCGUUGUAAACUUCUUUUGUCAAGGGACAAAAUCAGGCUCGAGAGCCUGACCGCGUGUACUCGAAGAAAAAGCAUCGGCUAACUCCGUGCCAGCAGCCGCGGUAAUACGGAGGAUGCGAGCGUUAUCCGGAUUUAUUGGGUUUAAAGGGUGCGUAGGCGGGCUGUUAAGUCAGCGGUAAAAGCGCGGGGCUCAACCCCGGCGAGCCGUUGAAACUGGCAGACUUGAGAUGGCGAGAGGUAUGCGGAAUGCGCAGUGUAGCGGUGAAAUGCUUAGAUAUCGCGCAGAACUCCGAUUGCGAAGGCAGCAUACCGGCGGCGAUCUGACGCUGAGGCACGAAAGCGUGGGUAUCGAACAGGAUUAGAUACCCGGGUAGUC
This 459-nucleotide ribosomal RNA is filed under the name uncultured bacterium. RNAcentral's name for it is "partial 16S ribosomal RNA". It matches the Rfam family "Bacterial small subunit ribosomal RNA", at positions 338 to 795 of the family's 1533-position model. The record is from RNAcentral.